Molecule: long non-coding RNA, 540 nt
Organism: Paramormyrops kingsleyae
Lineage: Eukaryota; Metazoa; Chordata; Actinopteri; Osteoglossiformes; Mormyridae
Source: RefSeq, a predicted model, not a curated record
CUGCGGCUCCGUGACAAAGGUAACCGGCGGGUUCAAGGACCCGGCGGGUCCGGCGCAGCGCUGCCAGUCGCGCACCUCGGAGGCAGCAUGGCGGCGCCCUGAGUCUGCUCACUGGCACAGCAUCGUCCUUAUAACUGCCGUAUGAAGAUACACACUGUGGGUGGGAGGGGUUGCAGUGGAUACAGACGAAGAGAGCUAGCUGUUUGCUCGGCGGGAUUUUUUUGUUAUUCCCCUGAGGGAGGUGUUUCACUCAGGUGUUGGGACAAUGUCACUCAUACGUGUGUUCAGUUCACUCACCAGGCAGGUUUGGUAUAAUCUGCCCAGGUACAGGCUCAGUGGCUCCUUGCCGCAGACGGCACUGCACAGGUGUCUGUCCUCCAUCUCCAGAAUGGGGGUGUCUGCGGCGCUGGUGUCGAUGCCCCGCUGGCUCGGACCCUGUCAGCAGCUGGCGUGUUGGCAGCAGGUGGCUGGGAUGAAGACCAGGACAUCCCUGAAGAGACGCUGUAAGGACUGCUUCUUCGUCCGACGGAGAGGCCGUCU